CCUACGGGUGGCAGCAGUGAGGAAUAUUGGUCAAUGGACGAGAGUCUGAACCAGCCAAGUAGCGUGAAGGAUGAAUGCCCUAUGGGUUGUAAACUUCUUUUAUAUGGGAAUAAAACAGGGUAUGCAUACCCUCUUGUAUGUACCAUAUGAAUAAGGAUCGGCUAACUCCGUGCCAGCAGCAGCGCUAAUAUUGAGGAUCCGAGCGUUAUCCGGAUUUAUUGGGCUUAAAGGGACCGGAGGUGGAUUUUUAAGUCCGUUGUGAAAGUUCGCGGCUCAACCGUAGAAUUGCAGUUGAAACUGGCAGUCUAGAGUACGGUAGAGGUGAGCGGAAUUCGAGGUGUAGCAGUGAAAUGCGUAGAUAUCGCGAGGAACACCGGUGGCGAAGGCAGCUCACUGGACUGCAACUGACGCUGAUGCGCGAAAGUGUGGGUAGCAAACAGGAUUAGAUACCCUAGUAGUC
RNAcentral lists this ribosomal RNA (460 nucleotides) under uncultured bacterium. RNAcentral's name for it is "partial 16S ribosomal RNA". It matches the Rfam family "Bacterial small subunit ribosomal RNA", at positions 338 to 795 of the family's 1533-position model. The record is from RNAcentral.